This is a long non-coding RNA of Pleuronectes platessa (European plaice), 1266 nucleotides long. RefSeq lists it as uncharacterized. The transcript is spliced from 2 exons. The record is from RefSeq and is a predicted model, not a curated record. Lineage: Eukaryota; Metazoa; Chordata; Actinopteri; Pleuronectiformes; Pleuronectidae.
ACUACCUCAGAUAUGUCUGGUCUUUCUCACUGUUUUACUGAUGUCUUUUUCCAGAUGGGACAAAACAACAGAGCAGACCACGGCUGCUUAGGCAGGAGAAAAGGACGACUCAACUAUUCCAAACAUCAGAGUCAGAGUUACCAGCCGCAGGGAAUCCUGCAUAGACGAAAAACAAUAAAUCCCAUUUUAGCAGGAUCAUGGGAUUAAUUGAGAGAGAGCAGUGAGGCGUUUUGGAAACCUCUGCUGACCAGACCUGAUGAAAUUAGCAGUUUCUGAAGAAAAUACAAUCACAAGGUAAAAAAAAAGAAAAAAAAAAAGAAGGAAUUGUUACUUUUCAGGUUUAGAAAUGUUUACGCCUCAUACAUCAGACUCAAGUGUAUAUAAUGACAUGCGUGUUAUCGGACGGACAACAGUCCCACCUGCUGGACAGAACAAGAGUCUACACUGAAUGAUUUAAACAAAGUGAACUUUAUUUCAUUAUAAUGAGAAGUGAACAUUGCUCUGCACUGAAACUGAGUGUCAUAUAAACUUUUUGAAGGUAAUCAAAAAUGGUCCCUCGGAACAACUUGUGUGCAAAAUAUAAUAAACCACUCUCGGUAUAAAAUUGGGAACAUGGACAAAGUUUUGCAAAAAAAGGCAUAGCUAGAAAAAGUAGAUUGCAGAAAUUUAAACGGCACGUUCCAUAAAAUCGUACUGAAUUAAAAAAAGUAUAAACGUCACAAAUCUUACCGAGAUAAUCACAGAUUGAGUUGGUCUUUCCAAUAAAGGCAUGGAGUGCUCUCAAUACUAAAAUCUAUAACAGUGAAGGAAAAAUAGAAAAUAACCAGAGUCAAGAUAACCUGAGUAAAGAACAAUCUCGAGGGAGUAAUGGCAGCGCAGUUACAGACAGCUGCAGACAUUUCCAAAUGAGCAACGAAAAACAACAUUUAGGCAACUUGUAAAGUGGCUUAAGGCAACAAAAUAUAUAUAUUUCCUACCCUAAAUGGCUUUCAAAUAAUUUUGAUGGUACACAAACCUAUUAUUCAUUAUAAUGAAUGCACCAAAACUACUUUAUUUAAUUCAGAUUUAAAAAAAGCAUUCUACCUUAAUUGGCUUCCAAAUUUAAAUGUGUAGUUGUCAUUAUUGAAAAACUCAAGCAGAGAAAUUUGAAGCUAAAGCUACGUUUCCUCACAGUGCAACAGCAAGAGAAGCUGUAGAACCAGUGUUGACAGACUUCACCCGGUUUUAGCUGAAGUCUCUGUCUGGGAGCACCAGCGGGGCCACCAG